UCUUUCUGCUUUUGCUACAGGGUUUCAUCUCCAUUUCCAAACCGGGUUAACUGGUUCAAUUUUUUCUGUUUUCGUUCUAAAUUUUGAAGUUGCGGCUCGAUCUUCAAUCAAGGAAGGAGCAAAGAAAGAAAAAAAAAAAGAUGCAGCAAGAUCAACUCAAGAAGGUUGUUUCUUUGUCCAUGAUUGCCCCUUUUGUCUACAAAGUCUGUUACGGUGUUGUGAGAUGACAUGGCACACGGAGGUGUUGAAAAAAUUGAAAUUUGGAAACUUCCGGCUAUGCCUCGACGACGUUGUUCAUGCCUCUAGCCGCACGCGUGAGCGCAAGCGAGGUAAGUAGUUAUUAACCAUCGUUGUUCCGAUAAGUGCUGUUUGGUUUAAGGGAAGAUUAAUUAAUUAAUUAAUUGAAAGGUGGUGGUGAUGAAUAAGUUUAGAUGGAGAUGCAUUGGCCAAAGGUGCCG
RNAcentral lists this long non-coding RNA (458 nucleotides) under Glycine max (soybean). Its description in RNAcentral is "long non-coding RNA (GMAX_LNC001534)". Lineage: Eukaryota; Viridiplantae; Streptophyta; Magnoliopsida; Fabales; Fabaceae. The record is from RNAcentral.